This 444-nucleotide ribosomal RNA is filed under the name uncultured bacterium. Its description in RNAcentral is "partial 16S ribosomal RNA". It matches the Rfam family "Bacterial small subunit ribosomal RNA", at positions 338 to 795 of the family's 1533-position model. The record is from RNAcentral.
CCUACGGGAGGCAGCAGUGGGGAAUAUUGGGCAAUGGAGGCAACUCUUACCCAGCAAUGCCGCGUGAAUGAAGAAGGUCUUCGGAUUGUAAAGUUCUUUAAUCGGGGACGAAAAAAAUGACGGUACCUAAGGAAUAAGCCCCGGCUAACUACGUGCCAGCAGCCGCGGUAAUACGUAGGGGGCAAGCGUUGUUCGGAAUGACUGGGCGUAAAGGGUGUGUAGGCGGUGUAGUAAGGUAGAAGUGAAAUACCUAGAGCUUAACCCAGGAUCUGCAUCUAAAACUACUAUACUUGAGUACAGGAGAGGAAAGUGGAAUUCCUAGUGUAGCGGUGGAAUGCGUAGAUAUUAGGAAGAACAUCAGUGGCGAAGGCGACUUUCUGGACUGUAACUGACGCUGAGGCACGAAAGCGUGGGGAGCGAACAGGAUUAGAUACCCCAGUAGUC